UACGGGGGGGGCAAGCGUUGUUCGGAAUUACUGGGCGUAAAGGGCUCGUAGGCGGCCAACUAAGUCAGACGUUAAAUCCCCAGGCUCAACCUGGGAACUGCGUCUGAUACUGGAUGGCUUGAAUCCGGGAGAGGGAUGCAGAAUUCCAGGUGUAGCGGUGAAAUGCGUAGAUAUCUGGAGGAAUACCGGUGGCGAAGGCGGCAUCCUGGACCGGCAUUGACGCUGAGGAGCGAAAGCUAGGGGAGCAAACGGG
RNAcentral lists this ribosomal RNA (253 nucleotides) under uncultured bacterium. RNAcentral describes it as "partial 16S ribosomal RNA". It matches the Rfam family "Bacterial small subunit ribosomal RNA", at positions 524 to 776 of the family's 1533-position model. The record is from RNAcentral.